This 243-nucleotide long non-coding RNA is filed under the name Capsicum annuum. RNAcentral's name for it is "long non-coding RNA (CANN_LNC006920)". Lineage: Eukaryota; Viridiplantae; Streptophyta; Magnoliopsida; Solanales; Solanaceae. The record is from RNAcentral.
AAAAAGUGGAUAUCUUAACAUAUAUAUUAGCAAGAUAUUGGAGCCUUUUUUUUUUUUUUUUUUAUUCAUCGAACGUCUGAUACUCAUUUUAGAACUCUUAUUAAGGCUUAAAACCAAAAUAUAUCUUUAACUUUUUUUCAUUUUCAAGCUUAAAUCCAAAAUAACUGAUUAAGGUUAGAAAUGUCCUUUUCAUUCCACCAUAACGUAUAUAUAGUGGUUAAAAAAAAGUGAGGUGGGGGUUAA